This is a long non-coding RNA of Trichechus manatus latirostris (Florida manatee), 565 nucleotides long. RefSeq lists it as uncharacterized. The transcript has 5 exons. The record is from RefSeq and is a predicted model, not a curated record. NCBI's taxonomy places the organism in Eukaryota, Metazoa, Chordata, Mammalia, Sirenia, Trichechidae.
GCCUGAGUCAAGGCAAGGACAGUCUUUCCGCCGUUGCUAUGGAGUUCCACUGUGGAGCAUGGAAGACAGGAGCAGCAUCCCACCGUGAGGUUAAAAAUUUGACCUGAGUAUUGGAGUUAGGAGCAUUGGCCUAUCAUGAGGGUUGACAACUGAGUGCUAGAGAAUGGGACCUGAAGUGCGAGAGUUUGAGAGCUGGCAACCCAAGCUCAUCCUGGGAGGCUCUGUCCCCAGAGGAUGAUCAGCUGUAGCAGGGGCAGAAUUUGAAGUCCAGGAACCUGGGGCCGCCAUGAAUUUGGAUGCAGAAAACCUUGGCAUUUGAUCUAACUCGGAAACAUGCUCAACUUGCUGAGCCAAGAAAUGUAUUUGGCAACUUUUUUUCUAGGACAGGCACAUUUAUGAGCCAAGCUGCCCAAGAAGAUCUUUUUUACAUUUUAAUAUUUAACUUUGGCAGGGCUGAGUUCUUAAAGCUAAAAGCUGUGAAUUCCAGUUUGUCCUAGAAUGUUCCCAUGCAGUUGUAAACUAAUAGUUGUAAUAAAGGGUUGUCUUUGGUAUUGGUUCUUAAAAA